GCAUAACGCGAAGAACCUUACCAGGGCUUGACAUCCCUCUGAUCCUCCUAGAGAUAGGAGCUCCCUUCGGGGCAGAGGUGACAGGUGGUGCAUGGUUGUCGUCAGCUCGUGUCGUGAGAUGUUGGGUUAAGUCCCGCAACGAGCGCAACCCUUAUCUUUAGUUGCCAGCAUUUAGUUGGGCACUCUAGAGAGACUGCCGUCGACAAGACGGAGGAAGGUGGGGAUGACGUCAAAUCAUCAUGCCCCUUAUGUCCUGGGCUACACACGUGCUACAAUGGAUGGAACAACGGGCAGCUAACUCGCGAGAGUACGCAAAUCCCUUAAAACCAUUCUCAGUUCGGAUUGCAGGCUGCAACUCGCCUGCAUGAAGCCGGAAUCGCUAGUAAUCGCGGAUCAGCAUGCCGCGGUGAAUACGUUCCCGGGUCUUGUACACACCG
Molecule: ribosomal RNA, 437 nt
Filed under: uncultured bacterium
Lineage: Bacteria
Description: bacterial SSU rRNA
Rfam family: Bacterial small subunit ribosomal RNA
Source: RNAcentral